AGUCUCUGCUUGGCAGGGGGCCCUGUUGUGCAGCUCUUGUGUCCUCCCUCUUUCAUUGCUCCCCCUUCUCCCUCGUGCCCCGGAGAGCACGGAUUUCACUGUCGGCCUCUCCUGCGCGCUCCGCUGCUGUGGGCUACGGUCAUUGGUCCCAGUCGCCAUCGUCCCUCUGGCGAGCCGCGCCUGAUCCCACUGGGGAGGUCUCCCUGUGCAGACGGGGGUUUGUGGCUGUUACGUUCUCCUUGAGCCCGUGCCAACCCGCGCUCCGUGGCAAUGGCCCGGGGCCCUAGGCUCUGUCUGCCCCGAGUCCCAGCCUGGCCCCGGCAGGCCGCCCUUGCGGCUGCAGCGUGGCUCUGCGCGUACCUCCAACCCCGCCGCCGCUCUAUGAAUGAAGUGACUCAGGGUGCAGAUGCCAGCCGCACAGCGACGCCAGCUGGGGUAGAAACAAUGUAGCGAGGCGGGGUCACCGUGCAGGGCUCGCGAUCGCCAGAGAACACCGCACGCGCCGCCUAUUAUUUAUAAUCCCCGUCUCCCGAGCCAGACCGCGCGCAAGCAGCAGCCUCGCUUUGGCGCGAGGCCUCAAUUCCCAUUGGACACCCACAACGUUCCACUUCUAAGCACGCAGGGAACUAAGGACGCAAACGACUAGACCACGCGCUCCCUUGUCUCGCGCUCUCCCCCAACAAAAGAGGAGGAGGAAGGGGGAUGUGGCGUCGCGCGCUUGAGUCUCGCGCUUUCCCGGGGGUUGACUGGUGGAGCGCGCUGGCUCUCACGCUCUCCCCCUACCGGCACACGCGCGCGCGUUCUGAUUGGCCGCAGCCAACGUUCUUCGGAGACGGUUUAACUGCAGCAGCGAGGUUCAGUGAGAGGAAAACAAAACAAAGGAGCGUAGCGGCGCGGGCGCCGGGAUGCCUCGGCCACCUCUCAGUCCCGAGGGGAGGAGACCCGGGCCUGGCCCCCGGCUCCCCUGAUGACCCUGGGCGCUGCAGCCGCCGCGGGGAAGACACCCCUGAGCCUGGGGAGGGGGAAGGACCCCCCCCGGGCGCGCGCAGAGCCGCCACCUGAGCGGGGCAUGAGGGGCCACUGCCACUAGACCCUCUCCUCGCCCCAGCUGGCAGCGACGGAGGCUGCUCCUUCCCCGUGCCAAGCCAGCCCCCCACAGAGGGAGGGAAGGGGGGCCACAGCUGCGCGGAACCCGCGGGGGUCCGGCCUGGGCAGCGGAGCCGCCGGUUGUGAUUGUUUCUCUUGUGGCAUCUGUGUGGAAAGUGCCACACACACUACAGAACAACAACGGCUUUUGCUUGCAUUUUCCAGUGUUUUUUUUGUCAGCGAGUUCAGCAAAGUUGUAAUUCUUCAAGUGCCAGCCCUGAGCUGAGUGAGGAGCCACCAGCAGAGAUGGUAAAAAUGACAAAAUCAAAAACGUUCCAGGCUUACCUGCCGAACUGUCACCGAACCUACAGCUGUAUCCACUGCAGAGCCCACCUAGCCAAUCAUGAUGAAUUGAUUUCCAAGGCAAGUGAUUUGUUUAGAGACUUCAUGUGGGUUUUUUUAACCAAAAUUGUUGUCAUUGGGUCAGUACUUCCAAUACAUCAGUGGUAUAAAUCUGAUGCAUACUUCAAAGUAUCUUCCCAAGAGCUCCAUUCUUGGGUCAUAGAUGCAUUAUACUGAGGAAUGGAUGUUUUCUAGAAACUUCGUGUAAAGCCCCAUCAUUGCAACCCCCCACAAAUAACAGGUAGGUGCUACUUUUGAGAUGCGCCUGAUCUUUACCAGACCAGGACUAGAUGUGAUAAGUUUGCUAAGGAAGUAAACUGUCUGAGGGAAGUGUAGAGCUCAGGAUUGGGAAAUUAUUCUUGUUAAAUUGAUUCAAAAGAUUCAUCUACUAGAGAGAGGUCACAAAAUUAGCUGGUAUUACACAAUCCAGUGGAUCAACAUGAAGUCCAUCACUACAUUGUCUAAGCCUUUCCUUCUCUCAUUAAUAUAUACCAUCUGGUUAAUUUGUGGAGCUUAAAAAACUGAUUACUCUGAGGAAUGUUCAAGCUCAAGUUUAAAUUUCAUAAAGAAAUUUUGAAGCUUUUGAAAUGAUCUAGCCCUGUCCUUUAUAUCAAUUGUUGAAAGAAACUAAGACUCCAUAAUCAUGUAGUAAAAUUUAAUACCGAGGGAAAAAUAUAAAGUGACGGUGCUUUAAGUCAAAUUAAGUUUCUGAUGGAGCACCCUGUAAAUAUUUUCUAAGGAAAAAAUUCAAUUCAAUUUUCAAACUUUGGGUUGUUGUUUUUUAACGGGUGUAUGUUGGGGUUGGGGGAAAGGAUGGGACUUCCUCUGCUGAUAGUGUCUCUUCAACAGGUAGAGUGGUUGAGCCAGAGAACAUCCUUCUUGAGGCCGUCCCUUAUUUCUUCCCAUCUUCUCUGUCCCCCACCAUCAUCACCCUCUGUUGCUCCUGCCUGCUGGUAUCUUUAGCAGCAUUGAAGUAAUUGAGGUAGUAAUAGCAUUGAGGAGUCCCAGGAAGUAAAGGAGCCACUCCUUUUAAGUACCUUCAGUGUUCCCUAGUCCUCGGCAGAGGCCUGGGGAGUGAAGGAGGUUCCUUGGGCCACACACCCCUCUACCUGCACACUUCUGGCUCCAAACACAAAUGCGAGCAAUAUUGCUUGUAGAUAUCCUCUUGCAGGCCUGCUCUUCUCCUCUUCCAUUCCUCCUGUUCCUCUUCUCUUCUGUCCCCCCCCACCCCGCCCAACACAAAAAAAACACACACACAAAAGAAAGGGUGAGUGAUGUGCCAUGCUAAUGCACAAAGCAGGAAGUGUGACUGAUCAAAUGCAAAACAUUGAAACUGACUAUAUACAAAGUGCUGUCCAAAGCAUACAUUUAUUAAAUUCAGAAAAGAUACAGGCUCUUUAGUUCUAGUAACCAUAAAUAUUGCUUUUAAAAAAAGCUGUAGGAAAAUACAAGCAGAAAUGUGACUCAAAUUUCUUUUAAUCACAAAGAAAAAUAUUAAGGUAAGAAUCACCUUUUCUUCAACAACACUCCAAUAUAAAUUUCAAGAAGGAGACAUGACUUCAUUAUUCAACACGCACUGUAAGUAAGUGGCAGGUUAGAUUUGAAUAAUUGAGGGGGGGAAUGUUUUCCAGAUCUGUGGAGUUACUGGGAAUUGUAUUUCAUACUAAACAAAUGGAGGAGUAUGGCAAACUUUACCAGCAAAGUUCAGAAAGAAAACUAGAACACUGAACUUUCAAGAAAAAAAAUGAGAUCCAUCACAUGUGGUUGGUAUCUACCUUCUCAUCCAGUAGACUUUUCUAGGGUAAUCUAAAUGUGGUGCAACAAGCUCUAUAGUUUGACAGUAUUAAGGUUUACCAUAAUUCCCAGACAAGCAGAUAGGUAUCAGGGUUUUGAAAGAGGUCUUGAUAAUAAGAAUAUCUCUUGAAUAUAUGCUCCAGUUGGAUCAUAGGUUCAUACUACAACUUUAAAUUGUCUAGAAAGGAUUAAAAACCUGAGACCGUAAAAGUUUGAAGAGGGGUUAUUGAGCAUAUGGAGAUUAAAAAAAAAAAAUCUAAGUCCUGUGUGUUCAGAUAAAUUUAGCCUAAGAAAUGUCUUCCAGACAGGAAGGAUUCGGGUAUAUAAUAUAAAGUCUCUUGUUUAAUACUGGUUUCCUAUUCUCCAGUGAAGGUUUCUCUAAACCAAGCUACCAAACUUUUAAAUGUUUGCAGAUUGGCAAGUCAGCAAAAUCACAUUUAUGGUCAACAUUCCCUAAACUCUGAGUUUCCUGCCUUUUUUUAUGUUGUGUGUCAGAUCUAGAAAUGCAUUAAAUUUGAGUUAUUUUUGCUUGUAAAUAAAAAUGUACUUGAUUCUUUGCUGCUUUCUGACAUACUGUACUGCUAUAGUUGGGACCUGGGCAAUAAAGGCAAAUGAAAGGGAAAAUGUUCAAUUAUUUAAAGCUCAGCAUGUGUGAGAGAGAUUUUGUAAGAGUGCAUAGACAAAUAUAAUGUUGUGUGAACACUUCUACAUUUGAGGGGGGGGGUUUCUUUCAGCAUAGAGUAUUAAUUCCUAAUGUGGAAUCUUGUAACCUGUAAGCCUCUACGACACAUAGUGCACCCACUGGGAAAAUGAAGAGUUCACUACUAACUUAAAAAAAACCAACUGUAAUUGUACUGUUAGAAUAUUAACCUUCAAUGCUAUCUUAAAACAGACCAUUAACAUACUUGAAUUAUAUAUUUAGGCACUCUAUUUAGAAUUAUACCCAAGCAUAAUUGGUAGUUGUAACUCUGAAUUUUCUUCUGUCAUUCUUGCAAACUGUCCCUCCUUCCUGGAUCUCCUCUCCAAUGUAGUGCACUCUUAAAACAUGUAUUCAUUAAAAAUAAUGGGAACAUGAAUAUAUCUGGUGUGUGUGGCAACAGUUGAAGAUAUUUAAACAAAAAAAAUACUUCAAAUAAUAAAAGGCAAUCGGGUGAUUCUGUACUCCAGAGACUGUUGGUAUACAUUUGCCAUCUGAAGCAAAAAUAUUUGACUUUGAUUGUAUAGAAUUGCAAUAAAUAAAUAUGCUGUACUGCAGUCUAUGAAUUGUAUUGAAGAAUAGUACUUUGAAAUCCGAAGAAAAGAGUGCAUGACUUAAAAACCAACCAUUAAAAUUGUCACUUCCUCAUUAAUAGAAAACUAAAUGUAAGCUAUCAUUUUAUGAAUACUACUCAGUUGUGGAUAUAACAUGAGAUGUUAGACUGUUUAGAUUAGAAGGAAUAAUGGUUUAACCCUUAUGCUGUCUGCUCCAACAUUUCUUUUCUGAGAACAUAUUUUGAAGUGAUCCAUGGGAAGCAUGUAGAUGUUUGUGCUGUCUUAGCAUGUAUUAAAAAAAGACUGUAAAGGAGACCUUGUAAACCCUCCCCUGCUGGUUUUUUGUAUUGAAAUUUUCUGGUUGUGACUUUCUGUUCUUUCUUAAGUAUUAGAACUCAUGGGAUUAUGAUGUUUCAAGAGACUGAAACAAGGAAAUUGGUGAUGGGGAGAAGAUAAAUCGCUGAACUUUUUUUCCUUUUUUGUUUUGAGACUUAUUUUUAACUUUAGAGAAAAGCUAGCCUAGCAAGAGAUUCUUUCUCCCUGUUGCUUCUGUUCAGGGCUACACAAUCCUACUCCAGAUUGCUUGUUUUCCAAGGCUUCCUCAGUUGAAAACAGGACAAGCGAGACUUGAUAAUCCAAACACAGCACUUUCUAAACUGCUCUGUGGUGCUGGUGGUUCUUGUUUCCAGCAGAGAUAAAUACUUGUUAGAGGAGACUGUGAAAUGUCUUGUCCUUUU
Molecule: non-coding RNA, 5270 nt
Organism: Chrysemys picta bellii (western painted turtle)
Lineage: Eukaryota; Metazoa; Chordata; Testudines; Emydidae
Source: RefSeq, a predicted model, not a curated record